This is a long non-coding RNA of Zingiber officinale, 1690 nucleotides long. RefSeq lists it as uncharacterized. Lineage: Eukaryota; Viridiplantae; Streptophyta; Magnoliopsida; Zingiberales; Zingiberaceae. The record is from RefSeq and is a predicted model, not a curated record. The transcript is spliced from 3 exons.
CAUGAGACGAAGGGGCAUGGUUUCAGCUUCAUUUCUCUCUUUGCUGCAAACGCCAAGGAAGACGGGGGAAAGGAAGACGAAGGGGAGUCCUUUCCCCUUCGUCUUCCUUAGUCUUCUUAUAAAGGUGCGUCCAAGCCUUUGAGAAGAUCAGAGGAUCACAACAGAAGGUUUGCGAAGGUGAUCAAAGAGCACAAGCGAAGUUGUGAGGUGAUCAGAGAGCGCUAGAGAACGUCCAGAGGCUGGGAUUUGGUUCAUGAAAAAGUUCGAGGAAGUUCCGAGUGGUGAUCUUCUCGGCGACAAUAGUAGCGACUUCUCCGGCGGUUCUUCGACGAUUUUUUCGGGAGAUCACUGAUCUGAAACACAUAUACCGACCAAUGGGGGUAUAGAGGCCAAGAUUGAUGCUGACAAUGACAUUUCAGAAACACCAGCAUUGAGAGAACACUAAGUGCAAAAUGCUAUUAAUUUUCUAUCACACCCAAAAGUCAGAAGUCAUGGUCAGUCUCAAGUCCGGAUAAAGGAGGAGGGUUGCGUUAAAUUGUCAGUCAAGGUUAAACUAAGGCAAAUGUUCAAUGAACCCAAGUCAGAAGUUCCCCAAUUGUACAUAAGCGUUCUUUUCUAGAAAAAAAAAAAAAGGCUUAACCAAGGAGUAAAUAGAUGAAGCCUUCCAGCGCGUGCCUGAUCCAUCAUCCAGUGCUCCAAAUGGACAAGUUUACUCCACAAACCCUGGUAAUAUAUUGCAAUGUGUGGUUGGUGCGUCGGAUGAAGGAUUCAUGCUCAAGUAAUGAAAAAUAACAAAAUUUCCCUAAUUGUUUUAGCAUCAUCGUUAAUUAUGUACACAAAAAGUCUCUGAAUUUAUGCAAGUGAAAUUGAAAGUUGGAAGAUGCAAAUUUAACUGUGCUGCAUGAGAUGCUCUGUAACAUAAUCAGCAGUUCUAUUUCUGUUUGUUAAUUAAUUAUGUUGAACUUUUAGUAGACAAGUGAUUGCAUAAAUGGAUAUUGGGCAUGUGAUUAGGUAAUUUUAAAACUAGGGUAUGUGAUUUGGAUAUUUUGGAAAUUUUCCUACGCGGUUCGGUAAAUAAUUUACCGUAUAUGGUUGUGAUACUAAAAAUAUUUUCUAGCCAUUCCUUUUGACUAAACUUUGUAUCUGGCAUUGGAGUCUCUCCUCACGGCCAUUGAUUAUUCAUCCUCCAGAGGAUCAGGUUCGUUUGUAGCAAAUGUAUAUAUGCAUUAUAUUUCUACACGCAUAUAUGUCUGAGCGAGUGCUAAGCAUAUGUAUUUCCCAUUACCUUCAAUUUCCUAUAUAAAUAUAUAUACACAUUAUGUCCACGCAUAUCUGCUUGUGCUACAGUGCUAGAAUCUCAAGACAACAAUAUGGAAGGCAAUGAUUUGUCAGUAAUAUUGUCGUUCUACCAUUCACAAUUAACAUAUUAUAUAGAUAUAUAUAUAUAUAUUACUUUAAAUUGUUUGAUGUGAGACUAUUUUACCUAUCUAUUUAAACUAAUUUUUUAACUUAAUUGUUUGGAAGCUUUUACAAACCUUCAUUGAAGCCGAUGAUUUUCCUCUCCUUUUACCUUUCACUGUCAAUGUAGGUUACCAUCUCCAUUUAUAAGAAGGUUGUAUGCCCAUUAUAUCUCAUAAUCUCUUGAUUUAAUAUUGAGUUUGUGUACAUCAUCUCAGUUUUGAAUCUGUUG